CGAGCAGGCGGUCGGGCAGAUGGUGGCGCUGACGUUGUUGCGUGAACUCGGCCCGGUGGUCACCGCAUUGCUGUUCGCC
This 79-nucleotide transfer RNA is filed under the name Stutzerimonas stutzeri. RNAcentral's name for it is "Pseudomonas stutzeri tRNA-Val(gac)". The record is from RNAcentral. RNAcentral also lists the same sequence under 1 other name. Lineage: Bacteria; Pseudomonadati; Pseudomonadota; Gammaproteobacteria; Pseudomonadales; Pseudomonadaceae.